UACUUACAUUUUUCCAGUGCAGAGGCUCCCUCGGUUCAGCUUACCUCUCUGACUCCCGGGAUGUCAUUGAGGAGGCAUAGCCUCCUCCGGUGAUGGUUCAAUCUUCUCAUAGACCUGAUGCACAUGCUCUGCAAGCACCCAGCUACUUUCCUAUGAGCAAUGAGCUGCUUUUCCAUGAGUUUCUUUGUUAGUGCAGCAAGCACCCAGCUACUUUCCUAUGAGCAAUGAGCUGCUUUUCCAUGAG
Molecule: non-coding RNA, 244 nt
Organism: Pelobates cultripes (western spadefoot toad)
Lineage: Eukaryota; Metazoa; Chordata; Amphibia; Anura; Pelobatidae
Source: the annotation of a GenBank genome assembly